Molecule: ribosomal RNA, 305 nt
Filed under: uncultured bacterium
Lineage: Bacteria
Description: bacterial SSU rRNA
Rfam family: Bacterial small subunit ribosomal RNA
Source: RNAcentral
GGUUCCUCGGGGGCAGCAGUGAGGAAUAUUGGUCAAUGGGAGAGAUCCUGAACCAGCCAAGCCGCGUGAGGGAAGACGGCCCUAUGGGUUGUAAACCUCUUUUGUCGGAGAACAAAACCCGGGACGUGUCCCGGACUGCGUGUAUCCGAAGAAAAAGCAUCGGCUAACUCCGUGCCAGCAGCCGCGGUAAUACGGAGGAUGCGAGCGUUAUCCGGAUUUAUUGGGUUUAAAGGGUGCGUAGGCGGUCUGUUAAGUCAGCGGUAAAAUUGCGGGGCUCAACCCCGUCGAGCCGUUGAAACUGGUAG